Pan troglodytes (chimpanzee) is the source of this 362-nucleotide long non-coding RNA. RefSeq lists it as uncharacterized. NCBI's taxonomy places the organism in Eukaryota, Metazoa, Chordata, Mammalia, Primates, Hominidae. The transcript has 3 exons. The record is from RefSeq and is a predicted model, not a curated record.
GAGCUAGUCUAGGUGCACCAGUCACAGGACACUGAGACUCAGGGUGGCAGAUGUCAAGUCCUUCAUUGUUCAGUUUAAGCUCAGAGAAGACUCACAUCCUUGGAUCCCAGACUCUUUGAUGACAGGAAGGCCAAACUAUCUCAAAUGGUUUUCAUGAAGAACUUACAGUGAGCCUACACGGAGUUGUCCAUACACAGAAGAACUGAGACCCCCCAGCCCCUGCCACUAGUGACAGCUCUCAUUAACCUCCUGACAUGCUGGCAAAUGAGCAUUCAGGGCUCCAGGGAGCGACAUCCAGCCAGCGGCUUGUUUUCGUAAAUAAAGUUUUAUUGGCACAUAUUAUGUUCAUUCAUUUACAUAUG